This 307-nucleotide ribosomal RNA is filed under the name uncultured bacterium. RNAcentral's name for it is "bacterial SSU rRNA". It matches the Rfam family "Bacterial small subunit ribosomal RNA", at positions 29 to 350 of the family's 1533-position model. The record is from RNAcentral.
AACGAACGCUGGCGGCAUGCCUAACACAUGCAAGUCGAACGAGACCUUCGGUCUAGUGGCGCACGGUGCGUAACGCGUAUGCAACCUACCUUAUACUGGGGGAGUAGCCCGGAGAAAUCUGGAUUAAUACCCCAUGGCACAUAUUGAUGGCAUCUGAGAUAUGUUAAAGAUUUAUUGGUAUAAGAUGGGCAUGCGUCUGAUUAGCUAGUUGGCGGUGUAACGGACCACCAAGGCGACGAUCUGUAGGGGUUCUGAGAGGAAGGUCCCCCCACACUGGCACUGAGAUACGGCCCAGACUCGUGAUGCU